CCUACGGGGGGCAGCAGUGAGGAAUAUUGGUCAAUGGCCGGAAGGCUGAACCAGCCAAGCCGCGUGAGGGAGGAAGGCGCAGAGCGUCGCAGACCUCUUUUGCCGGGGGACAAAAGGCCGGACUCGUCCGGUCCUGAGGGUACCCGGAGAAAAAGCAUCGGCUAACUCCGUGCCAGCAGCCGCGGUAAUACGGAGGAUGCGAGCGUUAUCCGGAUUUAUUGGGUUUAAAGGGUGCGUAGGCGGAUUGAUAAGUUAGAGGUGAAAUGUCCGAGCUCAACUCGGGAACUGCCUCUAAUACUGUUGAU
This 305-nucleotide ribosomal RNA is filed under the name uncultured bacterium. RNAcentral describes it as "bacterial SSU rRNA". It matches the Rfam family "Bacterial small subunit ribosomal RNA", at positions 338 to 640 of the family's 1533-position model. The record is from RNAcentral.